Molecule: unclassified non-coding RNA, 405 nt
Filed under: soil metagenome
Description: partial contains 5.8S ribosomal RNA, internal transcribed spacer 2, and large subunit ribosomal RNA
Rfam family: 5.8S ribosomal RNA (bases 1-121)
Source: RNAcentral
GAUGAAGAACGCAGUGAAAUGCGCUAAGUAAUGUGAAUUGCAGAAUUCAGUGAAUCAUCGAAUCUUUGAACGCACCUUGCGCCCUUUGGCCAUUCCGAAGGGCAUGCCUGUUUGAGUAUCAUGAACACCUCAACUCUUUAUGGUUUUCCAUGAUGAGCUUGGACUCUGGGGGUUUUGCUGGCUCACAGUCGGCUCCUCUAAAAUGAAUCAGCUUACCAGUGUUUGGUGGGUAUCAUGGGUGUGAUAACUAUCUACGCUUGUGGUUUUUCCACCAGGUAACCUUCAGCAGUGGAGGUUCGCUGGAGCUCAUAGAUGUCUCUCCUCAGUGAGGACAGCCCUUUGAAUGUUUGAUCUCAAAUCAGGUAGGACUACCCGCUGAACUUAAGCAUAUCAAUAAGCGGAGGA